Molecule: long non-coding RNA, 617 nt
Filed under: Ananas comosus (pineapple)
Lineage: Eukaryota; Viridiplantae; Streptophyta; Magnoliopsida; Poales; Bromeliaceae
Description: long non-coding RNA (ACOM_LNC023451)
Source: RNAcentral
AAUUAUAUUUUAUUAGAAGAUAUUUACAAUAUCCUACAACGUUCUUAUUUUUUUAUAUAAACAUUUUUAUAUAAUUUUUGAUUUUUGAUUAAUCAAAUUUAAAUAUAUGUUUUGAACUAAAAGCAUCAAAAUUUAAUUCACAUUUACUUUAAAAUUUAAAAUUUAAUUUUGAUCCACUGUAAUAAAAAAAAAUUGUUAAUUCAGAUUUGAUAUCAAAAAUUAAAUUUAAUUCAUAAUUUAAACUCGAAUUUUAAUUUUAAUAUAAAAUAGAUAAAUAGGAAUCGUAUUUUUUAACAAAUUGAUUGUAACCAUUUGUUUUUAUUAGAGAUAUUUUUUAACAAAUUGAUUAUAAUCAUGAGUAGAAUUGAAUUUAUAGUUUGAUAGGAAUGUUAUUAUUUAAUAGAUUAAUCAUGCAUGUUCAUAUUUGAGAUAUUUUUUUAGCAAAUUGAUCAUAACUAUUAGGAAUAGAUUUUUAUAUAUAACAAAGAUUUAAUAAAUUAAUCAUAACCGUUUAUUUUUAUUUAAAAUAUUUUUAAUAAAAUAACUAUUUAUAGAAAAUAUUACUUUAUUAUGCAAAAGUGCAUACUGGUGUGUCAGUUGGCAUAAGUUACAAUAAA